This 607-nucleotide ribosomal RNA is filed under the name Bacillus cereus. RNAcentral's name for it is "bacterial SSU rRNA". It matches the Rfam family "Bacterial small subunit ribosomal RNA", at positions 1 to 587 of the family's 1533-position model. The record is from RNAcentral. Lineage: Bacteria; Bacillati; Bacillota; Bacilli; Caryophanales; Bacillaceae.
UUUAUUGGAGAGUUUGAUCCUGGCUCAGGAUGAACGCUGGCGGCGUGCCUAAUACAUGCAAGUCGAGCGAAUGGAUUAAGAGCUUGCUCUUAUGAAGUUAGCGGCGGACGGGUGAGUAACACGUGGGUAACCUGCCCAUAAGACUGGGAUAACUCCGGGAAACCGGGGCUAAUACCGGAUAAUAUUUUGAACCGCAUGGUUCGAAAUUGAAAGGCGGCUUCGGCUGUCACUUAUGGAUGGACCCGCGUCGCAUUAGCUAGUUGGUGAGGUAACGGCUCACCAAGGCAACGAUGCGUAGCCGACCUGAGAGGGUGAUCGGCCACACUGGGACUGAGACACGGCCCAGACUCCUACGGGAGGCAGCAGUAGGGAAUCUUCCGCAAUGGACGAAAGUCUGACGGAGCAACGCCGCGUGAGUGAUGAAGGCUUUCGGGUCGUAAAACUCUGUUGUUAGGGAAGAACAAGUGCUAGUUGAAUAAGCUGGCACCUUGACGGUACCUAACCAGAAAGCCACGGCUAACUACGUGCCAGCAGCCGCGGUAAUACGUAGGUGGCAAGCGUUAUCCGGAAUUAUUGGGCGUAAAGCGCGCGCAGGUGGUUUCUUAAG